GGCAGGUUCGAACUUUGAAUUUGGAAUAUUGAAACUUUUUUUUUCACUGAGCCUUUUUAUUCUUCUAGAAAAUGAAAUUGGAAUAAAAAUCCUGGAAUGAUCCUAUUAUUUUUAUCCGAUUCUCGCCUUUACUUAUUCGAAAUUAGGUCUAGUAUCGAGUCUUCAAUUGAUUCUCGAAAAAUUUAAAAUCUAAAUUUGAAUAGUAAUCAUGAAAUGCGAUAUUGAGCUACUCAUUUCCAGAAUAUUUAUCCCUUUUUCAGGGGAAGCGAAUAAAUGAGGCAUGAACAACUUGAGAGUGAGAACUGAUGCAUUCUUAUCAGUGAUGGGAACAGCGACUGAAAUAGAGGGUUAACCAUUAUUUUUUUUUAAUUAUUUACUUGAGAAAUAGAUAGAGUUGGUCAUGUCCAACAUAAGGUAUCGAAUGGGAAGUGUGAUAAGUUAGCGGUGGAAAGAGUGAUAGGAGAAGGGGAGACAAAAAAAUGUUGUGAAGUG
Molecule: unclassified non-coding RNA, 492 nt
Filed under: Hevea brasiliensis (rubber tree)
Lineage: Eukaryota; Viridiplantae; Streptophyta; Magnoliopsida; Malpighiales; Euphorbiaceae
Source: RNAcentral